This 301-nucleotide ribosomal RNA is filed under the name uncultured bacterium. RNAcentral describes it as "partial 16S ribosomal RNA". It matches the Rfam family "Bacterial small subunit ribosomal RNA", at positions 509 to 807 of the family's 1533-position model. The record is from RNAcentral.
CAGCCGCCGCGGUAAAACAGAGGGUGCAAGCGUUAAUCGGAUUUACUGGGCGUAAAGGGCGCGUAGGUGGUUAUGUAAGUGAGAUGUGAAAUCCCCGGGCUCAACCUGGGAACUGCAUCUUAUACUGCGUAGCUGGAGUGCAGUGGAGGGUAGUGGAAUUUCCGGUGUAGCGGUGAAAUGCGUAGAUAUCGGAAGGAACACCAGUGGCGAAGGCGGCUACCUGGACUGACACUGACACUGAGGCGCGAAAGCGUGGGGAGCAAACAGGAUUAGAUACCCCCGUAGUCCCUGUCUCUUAUAC